CAACCCUUGACAUGGGACGUAUGGGCUUCAGAGAUGGGGUCCUUCAGUUCGGCUGGCGUCCACACAGGUGCUGCAUGGCUGUCGUCAGCUCGUGUCGUGAGAUGUUGGGCUAAGUCCCGCAACGAGCGCAACCCCUAUCUUCAGUUGCCAUCAUUCAGUUGGGCACUCUGAAGAAACUGCCGGUGACAAGCCGGAGGAAGGCGGGGAUGACGUCAAGUCCUCAUGGCCCUUACGGGUUGGGCUACACACGUGCUACAAUGGUGGUGACAAUGGGGAGCGAGGCGGCGACGCCAAGCCAAUCUCAAAGAGCCAUCUCAGUUCGGAUUGCACUCUGCAACUCGAGUGCAUGAAGUUGGAAUCGCUAGUAAUCGCGGAACAGC
Molecule: ribosomal RNA, 380 nt
Filed under: uncultured bacterium
Lineage: Bacteria
Description: bacterial SSU rRNA
Rfam family: Bacterial small subunit ribosomal RNA
Source: RNAcentral